CCUACGGGCGGCAGCAGUGAGGAAUAUUGGUCAAUGGACGGAAGUCUGAACCAGCCAUGCCGCGUGCAGGAAGACGGCUCUAUGAGUUGUAAACUGCUUUUGUACAAGGGUAAACCUGAAUACGUGUAUUCAGCUGAACGUACUGUACGAAUAAGGAUCGGCUAACUCCGUGCCAGCAGCCGCGGUAAUACGGAGGAUCCAAGCGUUAUCCGGAUUUAUUGGGUUUAAAGGGUGCGUAGGCGGAUUGAUAAGUUAGAGGUGAAAUGUCCGAGCUUAACUCGGGAACUGCCUCUAAUACUGUUGGUCUAGAGAGUAGAUGCGGUAGGCGGAAUGUAUGGUGUAGCGGUGAAAUGCUUAGAGAUCAUACAGAACACCGAUUGCGAAGGCAGCUUACCAAGCUAUAUCUGACGUUGAGGCACGAAAGCGUGGGGAGCAAACAGGAUUAGAUACCCUGGUAGUC
Molecule: ribosomal RNA, 460 nt
Filed under: uncultured bacterium
Lineage: Bacteria
Description: partial 16S ribosomal RNA
Rfam family: Bacterial small subunit ribosomal RNA
Source: RNAcentral